RNAcentral lists this RNase P RNA (206 nucleotides) under Candidatus Methylomirabilota bacterium. RNAcentral's name for it is "candidate division NC10 bacterium partial RNase P RNA component class A". It matches the Rfam family "Bacterial RNase P class A", at positions 1 to 168 of the family's 367-position model. Rfam says of the family: Ribonuclease P (RNase P) is a ubiquitous endoribonuclease, found in archaea, bacteria and eukarya as well as chloroplasts and mitochondria. Lineage: Bacteria; Methylomirabilota (SeqCode). The record is from RNAcentral.
GAAGUCGGUCGGAUGACUGCCGGUUCGCCCUUGGCGGACGGGAGGAAAGUCCGGACUCCGCAGGGCAGGGUGCUGGGUAACACCCAGGAAGGGUAACCUUACGGACAGUGCCACAGAAAAGAUACCGCCCACGCGGCAUCACUGGCUGUUGAGUUACGCGCGAGCGUAGCUGGCCGGCCCUGUGGGUAAGGGUGAAAAGGUGCGGU